GGUUUGCCUUAGCCCCUCAUUUUUUACCUUGCACUCUUUAGCUGCACUCAACACUCAAUCUAGAGUUCUCUCACUUUCCCCUUUCAUUCCAUCACCAAAAAAAAAUCCUCUUUUCCUCUUGUGCAUUUUCUAAGUUUGCUCCUCAUUCAAAUAUGGCAUCUUCCUCAGGCAAGCGGAUAAAGACCAUUGCCACAAACAUAGAAAGAGGAAAGAAGAGGAAAGAGCAAGUGUACUCCAGCAACUCUCUCCUAUGCAUGAGAGACACUUCCAGACAAUGCAAAACAGAAGGCUACUAAUGGAGAGAAAGGUAGGAUUAAUACCUACCGUGGCUCCUCAGUUUGAGAGGGAACUUGGAAGAAGGCAGUGGGAGAACUUGGCUUCUUAUCCGGCACUUGCCAACAUAGUUGUUGCGAAGGAAUUUUACAUGAAUGCAAGGGCAUUCGGUGAUUAUCAUCGGGAGGCAUACACUAGCUAUGUGAGGGGGAAAAGAAUACCUUAUGAUGUUGUUACAAUUAACAGGGUUUUAGGCAUUGAAUGAACUAGGGAUUAGUGCCAGUUUGCUUCAGCCAUAGACGAGGAUAUUGAUUAUGCUUAUGUGGAGAGGGUUUUGUGAGUUCCAGGUGGCCAUUUUUAGAGGAAUAGGCAGGAGUCACAUAUUCACAUUAGGAGAUCAUAUCUGACACCCCUGGCAAAAUAUUGGAUGACAUUUACACAUGCCAACAUCCUUUCAGAACCGCGGCCUAUUCCCCUGCAAAAUUUUGACAUUCCCCUUAAAAGCAGUUCAGAAAUAUAAUUGCAGGGGAAUAGGUCGCGGUUCCCCUCAAAACCGUGGCCUAUUAUCCCUGCAAAAAUUCUGAAAUUGCCCCCAGGCCAGGCUUGGAAUAAAUUAGGAGACAGGGAAUAGACCUCGGUUGCUUGGGGAACCGCGACCUAUUCCCCUAAGUCAAGGAAUAGGCCUCGGUUGUUAGGGGAAUCGGGGCAUAAGGUGUGCAAAAAAUUUCAAAAUUGUCAUUUCAGAUCAAUUUUAGAUUUUUUUUUUUAUCAAAAUAGGCCUCAGUUAGUAUGGAAACCAUGGUCUAUUCCACUCUAUUACAUCAGUUGUAUAAUGAACCGCGAUAGUAACAUUUAAUUAGGUUAAAAAAAUAUUACAGUAAACAGUUUCAUCUUCCACACGAAAUCUCUGAAACUGAAAUCUCUCUUAAGCUCUCCUCUCUGUCGUGCCUAUUCUUUUUUAAGCCCUCCUCUCCACCACGUCCAUUCUAUUUAUUUUCUUGUUUCUGGCGCUUCGUGUGUCUUCUUGGAGUGUCUCUUAUCCGUUUGAUCAAUGGAUUUUUUCAAUGAACCGUCUACUAUAAGGGUAAUCAACAUCGUCAAGUUUGGAUUUUGAGAUUGGAAACUCGUGUUGCAGCCACUUACUGGUGCUGGAGGGGUCACAAUUGAGGUGUGGUUUUCUUUUUACAUGACUAUUUGUUAUUCGAUUCUAAUAUUCAAUGAGAUUGUAUUGGUGUGUGCUUCAAAUCUGAAAUCUGAACUUCUUGUUUCAUAUCAAAGUUGUUG
Vigna radiata var. radiata (mung bean) is the source of this 1557-nucleotide RNA transcript. RefSeq lists it as uncharacterized. Lineage: Eukaryota; Viridiplantae; Streptophyta; Magnoliopsida; Fabales; Fabaceae. The record is from RefSeq and is a predicted model, not a curated record. The transcript has 2 exons.